GUCGACGGCAGCGGCGGCGGCGGGUGGGAAAUGGCGGAGUAUCUGGCCUCCAUCUUCGGCACCGAGAAAGACAAAGUCAACUGUUCAUUUUAUUUCAAAAUUGGAGCAUGUCGUCAUGGAGACAGGUGCUCUCGGUUGCACAAUAAACCGACGUUUAGCCAGACCAUCUUGAUUCAAAACAUCUAUCGUAAUCCCCAAAACAGUGCACAGACGGCUGACGGCUCACACUGUAAGUCCCACAGUUGGAGAAAUUUUUUUAAAACAAUGGUGUUAAAGAGCCCACUCUUAAUUGAGACAAAUAAUGUUGGCUUCUGAGCUGCUGACAUAGAGCUGUUGCAAACAGGACAAGGUGCUGGAACUCCUUGGCGCACACAGCAAGAACUUGAUACUUGGCCACGUUCAGGAGGCUUUUCCCUUCUAGGGAGGGUCACUGGCCCGGCCACCUCCAUUGAUUGACAUUUGUCAUGAGAGCAGGUCCGUCCAUGUGAAACGGAUUUCAACAUUUUGAGCCAUUCAUUGGUCUUUACAGUGACUGAACCCCUGGCCUUUAUUAAGUUCUUUGUGUAAAAUUAAAACUCUUAGGAAUAUUAAGGAAUCAAUGAGGUAAGUUGCCCAGUAAGUGUGGGUUUUAUUUCACCAUUAUAAUUUUUCCUCCAGGAAGUGGAGAUUUCAUGAUAUGUAACAAUUGUAUUUCUCUAAUACAGUAAUUUUUUUCCAUCAGUUUAUGUAAGCAUUAUUCUUUCCGAGUUCAUUAAAAAUUUUCUGCCACAUCUAAGAACAUUUUGGUGCUAGCCUGGCAAACUAUUUGUGCUUUUACCUGAAUUGGAAUUUUGAAAAGGAGAGUUUUCACGUUCUGUGAGCAGAAGUACAAGAUGGGCAUAUCAUGAGACCUCCGUUACACCGCAGUGUUAGGGAUUCAAGGCAGCCGCCAACUGAGAAAACGCCUCUGCUUCUCCAGAAAAUAACUUGCUCUCUUUUCAGCACUGAAUCUCAACUGAAGCACUUGCCAGAGGCAGCCGGUUAAGUGUUUACCUUUAAUUUUCCAUAAUAUAAAGUUGUUGCGUUUUGUAUUUCAGACCAUUGCCCUCUUGAACAUUUACCGUAACCCUCAAAACUCUUCCCAGUCUGCUGACGGUUUGCGCUGUAAGUUCAUACAAGUUCCUUCCCCGGUUCCCUGGGCUUGCGUGUCAGAGCUCAGUGUCCACUCCAUCUGGUCUGCCGUGCUAGUGUCAAGGACCGCGUUUCACUAGAGGUGGCAAGGAGCUUUCGUCCCACUGACCCCACGGAAACCUCUUUUGGAGAUUUGAACUCCCACCGUGUGUUAAAAAGGGAAAAAGUAACUGGAAAGGGUGCCCUUUAAAACAGUCUGGAGCUGGGCCGGGCGCGGUGGCUCACGCCUGUAAUCCCAGCACUUUGGGAGGCCGAGGCGGGUGGAUCAUGAGGUCAGGAGUUCAAGACCAAUCUGGCCAACGUGGUGAAACCCCAUCUCUGCUAAAGAUACAAAAAUUAGCUGGGCGUGGUGGCGGAUGCCUGUAAUCCCAGCUUCUAGGGAGGCUGAGACAGAGAAUCGCUUGAACCCGGGAGGCGGAGGUUGCAGUGAACCGAGAUCGUGCCGCUGCACUCCAGCCUGGGCGACAGAGUGAGACUCCGUCUCCAAAAAAAAAAAAAAAAAAACAGUCUGGAGCUGUUGCUGCCCCUUCUUCCUUUACUUUGGCCGUCAUCCUAGAGGGAAUGUACUGGAAUUAAACGUCGAGUCAUAUUCUUCCCUCUUAGAGCAACAGAAUUUGAAUGUUUCUCUCACUUUCUGGAAUUUUUAAAAAGCAAACCUUUUAAGUUAUUUUUUCAGAUUUUAUUUCUCAUUAGCCUUUUUUCCUUGAACUCCAUUUUGGAGUGCACCCUGUAGUUGUAAGAGCAUUGUGCUGAGAGCAUUCCCCAAAUGAGGGUCUGCAGCUUGCACUGACCCCUGAGUUCCUCACCCACCAGCCCCGUGCCGACCCGUCUAACCCGUGUGGGGGUGCUCCACUCAAAUAGGCCCUUGGCAGAAAAGAUUGUCCGUUCUGUCCACACACUGCCUGGAUACAGUCUCCAGCUCUAGGAGAUGGAAUUGGUUUGCUCCAUUUAGAAAUAGAUCAAAACUGGGCAUUCAGUAGAUGGUACCAAUAUCUUCCUGUACUGGGAAAUACUAAAUUUAGGUUGUGAAUAUUUACCUAAUGAUAAUUUUUAGAGAAGGAGAUAUCAUAGAUGAGUAUGAUUGGGAAGUUCAGAAAACUAAAAUUUGAUUUUUACAGCCAUCCAACUAUAGAAUCAUUGGAAUUUAGUCAUUUAUGGAUAAAUUAAAAUGAACACCUGGACUCUUGUUAAAAUCAAAAAGUCCAAACCAAAGAUAGGCACUUCCCAUUCACCAUUCUGUUUUAAAGCAGUAAAAAUUGAGGUGCCCUUGGAUAUCCACAAGCCUAAAUUGUGUACACCCUUGAACCAGAGCCCCUCAGUUAAUGGGGUGACCGACAUGGGGUAGAUGAUCCCAGGGGGCAUUCCCCUCUUGAGCUGGCCCUGCACUGGGUGGCCUGGGGAUUGUGCUUCCUUGCACAGUGGUGCGCAUUUCUAUGUGUGGAUGAGAUUUUCUUAUCAACUUUUCCUGCCAAGACACUAAAUGCUUUUCAGUGCUAAUACUGACCUGAUAGUAGAGAUUUCUUUCCCUGAGUCGGAUGGUAGCAGGAUUUACUUGGUAACCCUUGGUUUAAAAUACCUGUUUUUUUGUUUGUUUGUUUUCUUUUGUUUUUUAAGGAAAUAAGAUCAAUAGGCGGAGGGAAAUGUUUCUAUAUGCACUUAUUAAAUAAUUUUUGUUAACAACCCUGCCCUGGGAUAAAAGUGAAUGGAAGUACAUGACUGAGUAACAGUAAUUAAUUCUUUGCCCUGAUCGUUUAUUUGGGGACUGUAUAUGCUUUCUUGACUGACAAUAGAAUGUUGUAUUAGUUUUCAUUGUGUCUUUAUUUGCAGUUCACAGCACUUUUGUUUUGCAUAUGCUACAAACUAAAAGUUUAGCAAUUACGUUACAUUCCAAUUCUGGGGUCCAGAUUGUACAAAUUAGAUGAAAUUCUAAUUCGUCAUUUUAGGAAGAAAUCAGUUACCUAAAAUUACUGGCUCUUUUUAACAUACCCUUUAGUAUGUAAAAAAAUAAGCUUCAAAUGCGUGGGUUAAAGUUAACUAUCAAUCCCAGUUUAAGAAUGAUAUUUCUGCAAGAAAACUGCUUUAUUUUCCAAGUUGUAUUUAACAUAGGCUGAGUCACAAAUAAGUUUUUAAUUGUAUCUUAAUGCAGUUGUCUCUGCCUUUCAGGUCACUUUUGAUUGAAACAUUUUAAGCAGAAUAAAUAUAGCCAAUAAUUUAAAAUAAUCACCCCAAAACCAUUUCUCAAACCUGCUAAAACUUUGAGCACGUGAAUAAUUUUCUCCUCUUCACAUUCUUCUUAUGUGGGAAGGAAGUGAAUUUGAAAUAUUAAAAUCUGCCCUUUGGAAUAGGCUACUUUGGCCGUUUGUAACUUGAUUUCUACUCGGGGAGGAAGGUACAUUCCCAAUAGCUUUUCAAUUGGGAUAUCCUGUGAUAUGAUUGACAGGCUGUCCGAGUAGUUACACUUAAUAAAAUUUGGGUUUGAAAGCAGAUUCCUGGAAGUUCAAAAAUAACUAAAACAGCCCCAGAUAGGUUAGAAAGUGAACUUAGAUCAUUCUCAGAAUUAGAAAAUAAGAAGUUAUUUUUUAUCCUUAAAGAUAAAAAGGGGGCCGGGCACGGUGGCUCACGCCUGUAAUCCCAGCACUUUGGGAAGCCAAGGCAAGUGGAUCACGAGGUCGAGAGAUUGAGACCAUCCUGGCCAACAUGGUGGAACCCCGUCUCCACUAAAACUACAAAAAUUAGCCAAGAUUACGCUACUGCACUCCAGCCUGGAGACAGUGAGACUCCGUCUCAAAAAAAAAAAAAAAAAAAA
This 3976-nucleotide small RNA is filed under the name Pan troglodytes (chimpanzee). RNAcentral describes it as "retained intron". The record is from RNAcentral. Lineage: Eukaryota; Metazoa; Chordata; Mammalia; Primates; Hominidae.